UACGUAGGGGGCAAGCGUUACCCGGAUUUACUGGGCGUAAAGCGCGUGUAGGCGGCUGGCCAAGUGUGGUGUGAAAUCCCCGGGCUUAACCUGGGAAUGGCAUUUGGGACUGCAAGGCUUGAGUGCGGCAGAGGAGACUGGAAUUCCUGGUGUAGCAGUGAAAUGCGUAGAUAUCAGGAGGAACACCGAUGGCGAAGGCAGGUCUCUGGGCUGACACUGACGCUCAUGCACGAAAGCGUGGGGAGCAAACAGG
This 253-nucleotide ribosomal RNA is filed under the name uncultured bacterium. RNAcentral's name for it is "partial 16S ribosomal RNA". It matches the Rfam family "Bacterial small subunit ribosomal RNA", at positions 524 to 776 of the family's 1533-position model. The record is from RNAcentral.